UUUGUUUCCGGUGAGCACUUAAUAUGUGCAAGGUAACAUGUUAGAUGAUAGGAAGCAUUCACAGGAAGAAAAAAAAAAAUCCUAAAAUGUGCUGGAGGCGCCAACCCUGGUUCACCAGCAUCUGCUGUCAGAGGCAGGAGGGUUCAGCGCGGACGGGAAGAUGCCUGGAGCACGGAGCGGGCCUCCUGAGGAGGCUGUGGGGCCGCCUCCAGGGCCUCAGCUGUACGGGAAGUUCAGUGACCGCCCCAUCGCAUCCCAGCAAGUUCGUUCACCGCCUGCUCUGCGCCUGCGGCUUCUCCUGCAACCAGGGGCCGCGCGGUCCCCGCGCACGGUCGUGGGCGAGGACCCACAUUUCCCGGCGCUCAUUACAUCCGCGUGCCAGAACGAACCUGGGUCCCCGACCCGGGUGAACCCCACAGUGCGCGGCAGGGAUGGGAGGAAGGGGCGAGGGACACUCGGACAACUAGGCGUCCGAGGGCCGGGGACAGUGGAAAGCACAGCGCGGAGUGAGCUACCACCCUUCCAACCUAGCCGAGCCCCGGCCCCGCGUGUCCUCUACUCCCGCGUCCGGGUGGGGCCGCCCGCCACCCCUCAGCCGUCGCUCCCCGAUCUGCGCCCGGCCCCCUUCGCUGUCCCAGUGCCUCCUGGCUCGCGUCCCCCGCCCCCUCCACCAGGGAUCGCAAGCCGCCGGGCCCCCAGUGCCUGUUCCGGGCGCCCCUCCACUUGUGCCCGCGCCCUUCCCAGGCCUCUGUGCCCGUCCCGGGCGCCCCUGUUCCCUUCCCGGCCUCCUCCACCUGUUCUAGAGCCCCAACCGCGCGCCCAGCCCCCUUGGGCUUGUUCCAGGAGUCCCCGCCCCGCCGGCUUCGGCGUUGCCAUCGAUGUGCUCGGCGCUCUCCUGAGCCUGCCCCCCGGGAGUGGGCGGGCCCGUUUGCCUCAGGUGGUCUAACAGGCGCGGGGGAGGGCCAAUGGCGUCGCUGCACAGCUCCGCCCCUUCCUUCCGAUUGGUCGGCGCCGGAAGGCCGCGGCCAGGGUCUGGGGGCCCGUGCGGGAGCGCGACUCCACCUCAGUAGACGGGCCGCGCGCUCUGAGCUCAUCGGCUUCGUCCACUUCUACCCGGU
Molecule: long non-coding RNA, 1118 nt
Filed under: Zalophus californianus (California sea lion)
Lineage: Eukaryota; Metazoa; Chordata; Mammalia; Carnivora; Otariidae
Description: lncRNA (ENSZCAG00015012186.1)
Source: RNAcentral